This 253-nucleotide ribosomal RNA is filed under the name uncultured bacterium. RNAcentral describes it as "partial 16S ribosomal RNA". It matches the Rfam family "Bacterial small subunit ribosomal RNA", at positions 524 to 776 of the family's 1533-position model. The record is from RNAcentral.
UACGUAGGUGGCAAGCGUUGUCCGGAUUUACUGGGCGUAAAGAGCGCGCAGGCGGUCGUUCAAGUCGAGUGUGAAAGCCCCCGGCUCAACUGGGGAGGGUCACUCGAUACUGAUCGACUCGAAGGCAGAAGAGGGAUGCGGAAUUCCAGGUGUAGCGGUGAAAUGCGUAGAUAUCUGGAGGAACACCGGUGGCGAAGGCGGCAUCCUGGACCGGCAUUGACGCUGAGGAGCGAAAGCCAGGGGAGCAAACGGG